This 914-nucleotide ribosomal RNA is filed under the name uncultured archaeon. RNAcentral's name for it is "bacterial SSU rRNA". It matches the Rfam family "Archaeal small subunit ribosomal RNA", at positions 1 to 922 of the family's 1478-position model. The record is from RNAcentral.
UCYGGUUGAUCCUGCCRGACCCGACUGCUAUCAGAGUGAGACUAAGCCAUGCGAGUUAACGUAUGAAUAAUACGUGGCACACGGCUCAGUAACACGUAGUCAACAUGCCCAGAGGACGUGGAUAACCUCGGGAAACUGAGGAUAAACCGCGAUAGGCCAUAAUUACUGGAAUGGGUUAUGGCUUAAACCUAUAUGGCCCCUGGAUUGGACUGCGGCCGAUCAGGCUGUUGGUGAGGUAAUGGCCCACCAAACCUGUUACCGGUACGGGCUCUGAGAGGAGGAGCCCGGAGAUGGGCACUGAGACAAGGGCCCAGGCCCUAUGGGGCGCAGCAGGCGCGAAACCUCUGCAAUAGGCGAAAGCCUGACAGGGUUACUCUGAGUGAUUCCCGCUAAGGGGAUCUUUUGGCACCUCUAAAAAUGGUGCAGAAUAAGGGGUGGGCAAGUCUGGUGUCAGCCGCCGCGGUAAUACCAGCACCCCGAGUGGUCGGGACGAUUAUUGGGCCUAAAGCAUCCGUAGCCGGUCAUGCAAGUCCUCCGUUAAAUCCACCUGCUCAACAGAUGGGCUGCGGAGGAUACUACAAGGCUAGGAGGCGGAAGAGGCAAGCGGUACUCAGUGGGUAGGGGUAAAAUCCUCUGAUCCAUUGAAGACCACCAGUGGCGAAGGCGGCUUGCCAAUACGCGCUCGACGGUGAGGGAUGAAAGCUGGGGGAGCAAACCGGAUUAGAUACCCGGGUAGUCCCAGCUGUAAACGAUGCAGACUCGGUGAUGGGCCGGCUUUAUGCCGGCUCAGUGCCGCAGGGAAGCCGAUAAGUCUGCCGCCUGGGGAGUACGGUCGCAAGACUGAAACUUAAAGGAAUUGGCGGGGGAGCACCACAAGGGGUGAAGCCUGCGGUUCAAUUGGABUCAACGCCGGR